UGUGUAUGUAUUCAGCAGCCUGUGUGUAUUCUGCAUUCUGUGUGUUUAUUCAGCAGUCUGUGUGUGUGUGUGUAUUUUAUGUAUGUAUUGCAUUUGUUGGAGGUACCAAUAAAUAUAAGUUUAAUUUUAUUGGGGCCCAUAAUGUUGUUAAGAUGGCACUGGCAGUGAGUGGACAUGUUUAGCAGCGAGUGGAGAUGUGGAGGUGUGAAUCAGUGAGUGGAGAUGUGGAUCAGUGAGUGGAGAUGUGGAGCAGUGAGUGCAGAUGUGAAUUAGUGAGUGGAGAUGUGGAGCAGUGAGUGAGAGAUGUGGAGCACGGAGUACAGAUGUGAAUCAGUGAGUGGAGAUGUGAAGCAGUGAGUGGAGUUAUGGAGCAGUGAGUGGAGAUGUGGAG
Molecule: non-coding RNA, 391 nt
Organism: Pelobates cultripes (western spadefoot toad)
Lineage: Eukaryota; Metazoa; Chordata; Amphibia; Anura; Pelobatidae
Source: the annotation of a GenBank genome assembly